UACGUAGGGGGCUAGCGUUGCUCGGAAUCACUGGGCGUAAAGCGCACGUAGGCGGCUUUCUAAGUCAGGGGUGAAAUCCUGGAGCUCAACUCCAGAACUGCCUUUGAUACUGGAGAGCUCGAGUCCGGAAGAGGUGAGUGGAACUGCGAGUGUAGAGGUGAAAUUCGUAGAUAUUCGCAAGAACACCAGUGGCGAAGGCGGCUCACUGGCCCGAUACUGACGCUGAGGCACGAAAGCGUGGGGAGCAAACAGG
This 253-nucleotide ribosomal RNA is filed under the name uncultured bacterium. Its description in RNAcentral is "partial 16S ribosomal RNA". It matches the Rfam family "Bacterial small subunit ribosomal RNA", at positions 524 to 776 of the family's 1533-position model. The record is from RNAcentral.